GACGAACGCUGGCGGCGUGCCUAAUACAUGCAAGUCGAGCGAAUCUGAUGGGAGCUUGCUCCCUGAUGAUUAGCGGCGGACGGGUGAGUAACACGUGGGUAACCUGCCUGUAAGACUGGGGAUAACUCCGGGAAACCGGGGCUAAUACCGGAUAACUUUUUUCUUCGCAUGAGGGAGAAUUGAAAGAUGGCCUCUGCUAUCACUUACAGAUGGACCCGCGGCGCAUUAGCUAGUUGGUGAGGUAACGGCUCACCAAGGCGACGAUGCGUAGCCGACUUGAGAGGGUGAUCGGCCACACUGGGACUGAGACACGGCCCAGACUCCUACGGGAGGCAG
RNAcentral lists this ribosomal RNA (336 nucleotides) under uncultured Bacillota bacterium. RNAcentral describes it as "bacterial SSU rRNA". It matches the Rfam family "Bacterial small subunit ribosomal RNA", at positions 28 to 351 of the family's 1533-position model. Lineage: Bacteria; Bacillati; Bacillota. The record is from RNAcentral.